RNAcentral lists this ribosomal RNA (308 nucleotides) under Aphanizomenon gracile SAG 31.79. RNAcentral describes it as "bacterial SSU rRNA". It matches the Rfam family "Bacterial small subunit ribosomal RNA", at positions 471 to 778 of the family's 1533-position model. RNAcentral also lists the same sequence under 1 other name. The record is from RNAcentral. Lineage: Bacteria; Bacillati; Cyanobacteriota; Cyanophyceae; Nostocales; Aphanizomenonaceae.
GACGGUACCUGAGGAAUAAGCAUCGGCUAACUCCGUGCCAGCAGCCGCGGUAAUACGGAGGAUGCAAGCGUUAUCCGGAAUGAUUGGGCGUAAAGGGUCCGCAGGUGGCAUUGUAAGUCUGCUGUUAAAGAGUUUGGCUCAACCAAAUAAAAGCAGUGGAAACUACAAAGCUAGAGUGUGGUCGGGGCAGAGGGAAUUCCUGGUGUAGCGGUGAAAUGCGUAGAUAUCAGGAAGAACACCGGUGGCGAAGGCGCUCUGCUAGGCCAAGACUGACACUGAGGGACGAAAGCUAGGGGAGCGAAUGGGAU